This 484-nucleotide ribosomal RNA is filed under the name uncultured bacterium. RNAcentral's name for it is "partial 16S ribosomal RNA". It matches the Rfam family "Bacterial small subunit ribosomal RNA", at positions 30 to 507 of the family's 1533-position model. The record is from RNAcentral.
AUUGAACGCUGGCGGCAGGCCUAACACACGCAAGUCGAGCGGAUGAAGGGAGCUUGCUCCUGGAUUCAGCGGCGGACGGGUGAGUAAUGCCUAGGAAUCUGCCUGGUAGUGGGGGAUAACGUCCGGAAACGGGCGCUAAUACCGCAUACGUCCUGAGGGAGAAAGUGGGGGAUCUUCGGACCUCACGCUAUCAGAUGAGCCUAGGUCGGAUUAGCUAGUUGGUGGGGUAAAGGCCUACCAAGGCGACGAUCCGUAACUGGUCUGAGAGGAUGAUCAGUCACACUGGAACUGAGACACGGUCCAGACUCCUACGGGAGGCAGCAGUGGGGAAUAUUGGAUAAUGGGCGAAAGCCUGAUCCAGCCAUGCCGCGUGUGUGAAGAAGGUCUUCGGAUUGUAAAGCACUUUAAGUUGGGAGGAAGGGCAGUAAGUUAAUACCUUGCUGUUUUGACGUUACCAACAGAAUAAGCACCGGCUAACUUCGUG